UAUCACUUCACUGUCUCCCCACUUCUCCCUGUGGCCACAAGCCCACAACUCUCUCUCUACCUCCUCAGGUCGCCCCUCCUCUUCGUCUCCACAGCCGACGUGAGGUCUCGCACCCCCUCUGCCCACUCUUCUCCGCACUUCCUCGUCGAAUCGGUCUCUGAAGUGCCCGAGGAUCCGCUCGAUCUCGGCAUGUUCGCUGGCUGACCCAGUGCUAGGCGUGGACGAAGGCCGACGCGGAGGCGCGGGACUCGUCUCCACCAGAUCGGCAGCCGUGGCAAUCAUGCAUCCGGAGCUCUGUGGCCCGGCUCCGUGCCUUCCUCUCCGUCUCGCUCGCCCGACGCUUGGAGCGUCUGCUCGUCGUCGGCUCCCACCACCCUGUGCGUGCGGCUGUGCUGUGCCCUGCCCUGCCCAGGUGCGGCAGUAGUGCCGCGGUGGCUGGUCCCCUGCAACUGCAAGCCGGCGCCGGUUGAUGAUCUAUUCCCCACUCCAGCUUUCAUAUAUUCUUAGUUCUGAUUUGAGGCAUACAAGGAAUGGAUAUUGAAGACCAUGGAAGAGUCGUCGAAUUUGUUCCAUCAUAAAUUUUUGGAACUCUGGAUAAACAGAAAGAUGUGAAUGGGGAGGCAUACCUGCCUGCCAUAUACAUCAACCCGAAGCUUUUGAGCGUUGUACAGAAGAAGUACUUGACAGUUUUACUUCAUGAUAGUCUUGGAUUUUGUUCGGUCAGAAUGAUCAGAUUGGCAAGGCUUUCAGGUGAGGUCAGUUACAUACUGAAGAGCAUGCACCUGUGUUGGCGACGAGCUCAUCAGCGCGGCCGUGGACGGGCGCCUGUCUAUAAGUCUAUGAGGAGUUUGAUAUUUACAGAGAAAGUCGACCCC
Molecule: long non-coding RNA, 875 nt
Organism: Triticum dicoccoides
Lineage: Eukaryota; Viridiplantae; Streptophyta; Magnoliopsida; Poales; Poaceae
Exons: 4
Source: RefSeq, a predicted model, not a curated record